UACGUAGGGUGCGAGCGUUAAUCGGAAUUACUGGGCGUAAAGCGUGCGCAGGCGGUUUUGUAAGCCAGAUGUGAAAGCCCCGGGCUUAACCUGGGAAUGGCAUUUGGGACUGCAAGGCUUGAGUGCGGCAGAGGAGACUGGAAUUCCUGGUGUAGCAGUGAAAUGCGUAGAUAUCAGGAGGAAUACCGAUGGCGAAGGCAGGUCUCUGGGCCGAUACUGACGCUGAGGAGCGAAAGCGCGGGGAGCGAACAGGA
This 254-nucleotide ribosomal RNA is filed under the name uncultured bacterium. RNAcentral describes it as "partial 16S ribosomal RNA". It matches the Rfam family "Bacterial small subunit ribosomal RNA", at positions 524 to 777 of the family's 1533-position model. The record is from RNAcentral.